GGAUCAGUGUUUGCUCACUGGUUAUGGCAUUGGACUACUGAUCAGAUGGUCAUGAGUUCAAAUCCCAUCACCGCCA
Non-coding RNA from Pangasius djambal, 76 nucleotides. Lineage: Eukaryota; Metazoa; Chordata; Actinopteri; Siluriformes; Pangasiidae. The record is from the annotation of a GenBank genome assembly.